Molecule: ribosomal RNA, 233 nt
Filed under: uncultured bacterium
Lineage: Bacteria
Description: partial 16S ribosomal RNA
Rfam family: Bacterial small subunit ribosomal RNA
Source: RNAcentral
UAACCUGCCUCAUACAGGGGGAGUAACAGUUAGAAAUGACUGCUAAUACCGCAUAAGCGCACAGAGAUGCAUGUCUCGGUGUGAAAAGCUGAGGCGGUAUGAGAUGGAUCCGCGUCUGAUUAGCUGGUUGGCGGGGUAGAGGCCCACCAAGGCGACGAUCAGUAGCCGACCUGAGAGGGUGGCCGGCCACAUUGGGACUGAGACACGGCCCAAACUCCUACGGAAGGCAGCAG